CGAAAGCCUGACGGAGCAAUACCGCGUGAGGGAGGAAGGCUUUUGGGUUGUAAAUCUCUUUUAAUAAGGAAGAAGAAAGUGACGGUACUUAUUGAAUAAGUAUCGGCUAACUCCGUGCCAGCAGCCGCGGUAAUACGGAGGAUGCGAGCGUUAUCCGGAAUCAUUGGGCGUAAAGAGUCUGUAGGUGGCACUUCAAGUCUGCUGUCAAAGACCGAAGCUUAACUUCGGGCAGGCGGUGGAAACUGAAGAGCUAGAGUAAAGCAGGGGUAGAGGGAAUUCCCAGUGUAGCGGUGAAAUGCGUAGAGAUUGGGAAGAACACCAGUGGCGAAGGCGCUCUACUGGGCUAAAACUGACACUGAGAGACGAAAGCUAGGGUAGCG
Molecule: ribosomal RNA, 380 nt
Filed under: uncultured cyanobacterium
Lineage: Bacteria; Bacillati; Cyanobacteriota
Description: bacterial SSU rRNA
Rfam family: Bacterial small subunit ribosomal RNA
Source: RNAcentral